This 280-nucleotide ribosomal RNA is filed under the name uncultured bacterium. Its description in RNAcentral is "partial 16S ribosomal RNA". It matches the Rfam family "Bacterial small subunit ribosomal RNA", at positions 66 to 339 of the family's 1533-position model. The record is from RNAcentral.
CAGCGAAGAGGUAGCAAUACCUUUGUCGGCGACCGGCGCACGGGUGAGUAACACGUAUGCAAUCCACCUGUAACAGGGGGAUAACCCGGAGAAAUCCGGACUAAUACCCCAUAAUAUGGACGCUCCGCAUGGAGGGUCCAUUAAAGAGAGCAAUUUUGGUUACAGACGAGCAUGCGCUCCAUUAGCCAGUUGGCGGGGUAACGGCCCACCAAGGCGACGAUUGGUAGCCGGACUGAGAGGUUGAACGGCCACAUUGGGACUGAGACACGGCCCAGACUCC